RNAcentral lists this ribosomal RNA (443 nucleotides) under uncultured bacterium. RNAcentral's name for it is "partial 16S ribosomal RNA". It matches the Rfam family "Bacterial small subunit ribosomal RNA", at positions 338 to 795 of the family's 1533-position model. The record is from RNAcentral.
CCUACGGGUGGCAGCAGUGGGGAAUAUUGGGCAAUGGGCGCAAGCCUGACCCAGCAACGCCGCGUGAAGGAAGAAGGCUUUCGGGUUGUAAACUUCUUUUCUCAGGGAAGAAGAUAGCGACGGUACCUGAGUAAUCAGCCACGGCUAACUCCGUACCAGCAGCCGCGGUAAUACGUAGGUGGCAAGCGUUAUCCGGAUUUGUUGGGUGUAAAGGGCGGGUAGGCGGGAGCGCAAGUCAGAUGUGAAAUCUCAGGGCUCAACCCUGGAACUGCAAUUGAAACUGUGUUACUUGAGUGCUGGAGAGGGAAUCGGAAUUCUGGGUGUAGCGGUGAAAUGCGUAGAUAUACGGAGGAACACCAGUGGCGAAGGCGGACUGCUAGAAAAUAACUGACGCUGAUGCGCGAAAGCGUGGGGAGCAAACAGGAUUAGAUACCCGAGUAGUC